This 75-nucleotide transfer RNA is filed under the name bacterium. Its description in RNAcentral is "tRNA-Glu". It matches the Rfam family "tRNA". Rfam says of the family: Transfer RNA (tRNA) molecules are approximately 80 nucleotides in length. The record is from RNAcentral.
GGCCCCAUCGUCUAGCGGUUAGGACAUCGCCCUCUCACGGCGAAAACCGGGGUUCAAUUCCCCGUGGGGUCACAA